GAUGAACGCUGGCGGCGUGCCUAAUACAUGCAAGUCGAGCGAACAGACGAGGAGCUUGCUCCUCGGUCGUUAGCGGCGGACGGGUGAGUAACACGUGGAUAACCUAUCUAUAGGACUGGGAUAACUUCGGGAAACCGGAUCUAAUACCGGAUAAUAUAUGGAACCGCAUGUUUCAAUAGGGAUAGACGGUUUUUCUUUCACUUAUAGAUGGAUAAGCGCCUCAUUAGGUAGUUGGUAAGGUAACGGCUUACCAAGGCAACGAACGGUAGCCGACAUGAGAGCGUGGUCGGGCAGCCUGGAAGUGAGACAGGGCCCAGACUCCUACGGGAGGACGCAGUCGGGACUCUUACGCAAGGGGCCAAAGCCUGACGGUGCACAGCGGCGGGAGCCAUGAAGGUCUUAGGAUGGUAAAACUAUGUUAUUCGGGAAGUACAAAUGUGCAAGUAACUAUGCACGUCUUGACGGUACCUAAACAGAAAGCCACGGCUAACUACGUG
This 497-nucleotide ribosomal RNA is filed under the name uncultured bacterium. RNAcentral's name for it is "partial 16S ribosomal RNA". It matches the Rfam family "Bacterial small subunit ribosomal RNA", at positions 28 to 507 of the family's 1533-position model. The record is from RNAcentral.